RNAcentral lists this ribosomal RNA (599 nucleotides) under Mimachlamys nobilis (noble scallop). RNAcentral describes it as "partial 12S ribosomal RNA". It matches the Rfam family "Bacterial small subunit ribosomal RNA", at positions 614 to 1429 of the family's 1533-position model. The record is from RNAcentral. Lineage: Eukaryota; Metazoa; Mollusca; Bivalvia; Pectinida; Pectinidae.
GGUAAGAUGGCCUUCCUUAAUUUAAGGUGUGAGGAAAUAAGGAAGCCGAUCUGAGGAGGAUAGGGGUAUAAUCUGUUUGAUCCUUUGAGAAAGGUGAAUAGCUUUCUUUAGGCUGAAACCACGGAACCGGUAUAUAGGAGACAUGGAUUAGAUACCCAUUUAUUCCCGGCGCAAACUUUGCUAUAAGGCGGCUGCUUGAGUACUACGAGCGAUGGCUUAAAACUCAAAGGAUUUGGCGGCUCGUUAAUUACCCAGGGGAAUAUGCGCCUUAAUCCGAUGAUCCGCGUAACAUCUUACUGUACCUUGAAGAAGAACAGCUGGUGUAUUGCCGUUGUCAGCUUGUUGUUCGAGCAGAGAGAAACAGGCUCAAUGGAGCUAGCAAUGUUUAUUGAAAGAAUCCAUGAAUUCAGGUCGAAAUACUGCCAAUGGUACAAGGGAGUGGGUAUUACAAUUCAGAGUUUGAAUUACGGAUCCUGUAAAUGAAAGUAUCAGGUGAAGGUGGACUUGGGAGUAAGGGGGGAUUAAUAUGCCUCCCUGAACGUAAAUCUAACUUGUGCACAAACCGCCCGUCGCUCUCGCCAGGGAGGGGAGAUAAGUUC